RNAcentral lists this long non-coding RNA (2986 nucleotides) under Pongo abelii (Sumatran orangutan). Its description in RNAcentral is "lincRNA". The record is from RNAcentral. Lineage: Eukaryota; Metazoa; Chordata; Mammalia; Primates; Hominidae.
GUAUUUCUGCGUUGCAUAUGGGCUGGGGUCCCUCCUGUCCUCUCCUACAUGAUCCCAGGUCUGAUUUCUAAUGGUGUUGUAUUUCCUCCCUAAAUCAUUUUUCAAUAGUAUUUUUUGUUCUUCUGUGGGAUACAGAAGAAUUUUUUUUUCUUAUUCCAAUAAGGACAAGUAAACAAGUCAGAAGCCUCGGAAGAGCUCAAGAGAGAAACCUCAGCCUUCAAUUCCUGGUCUCUUUCUGAGACCUCAGCUCUUGAUUCACUUAAUUUCAAGGAGGACUGAUUUAUGACUACACCAAGCUGACCCAAAGAACCCUGGGAAGCACGUGGCCCGCCAGAGAGAAGGGCUGGGCCCUGGGGCUGGAAAGGGCACAGAGCCUGUUUUCAACAAUUACGUCUACAUUUUCCAAGAGAUUAAACGGAUUAGAAGCCAGGCAUUGGAGAAGAGAUCUUUUGUCUUCCUUGGCAACAUUUCUGAAAUCUACAGAUAGGGAUGAGGAAGUGAGGCACAUUUUUCAUCUGUUCCAACAAAUUGCCAAUGGAAUGGCUGACAUGCCAUUUUAGAGUGUGUCAUCUCUCCUGUGUUCCCUGAGUUGCCUGGGGCAGGCUGCCCCUCAUCACUGAGGGUCAGCUGGGCCCUGCCCUUGAAUACAGCACAGGGCUGGUGUCAUGGAGCCGGCCUUCCUUACACCAAUGAACCGCAGGAGCCUCCCCUUGUCCCUUGCCUGGGGGGAACUAAUGGCAUUGCAGGCAAAGGCUCAGCAGGGACCCUGUAGAUAGAGGAUAGAUCGGCACCCAGGCGUCUUACAGGGUGGACCCCAUGCUGGCAGGGUGGAGGCCAGAGAAAAGAGGCUUGGAAGAAGCAAAGGAAACUCUCAAGGGGGUGCGGAGAUGAACGUGGCUUGCACCUGGAGAACUCCCAGCCAAUCUGAGCUUGACACCCCUCUCUUCUCCACCAAUCAAAUGGCACUACCACCUCCUCCUAAUUCCCCUACCAAUGAGAACUAGGUUCCCUUACCCUAUCCACCAAUCAGGGUGUGGACAAAGAAUAAUCUUAUCAAACCCCACGUGGAUUCACACGCAUCUGGUAGCUUGAUGGUUGGUAAGUCUCUGCAUGGCAAGCUGGGUCUCCAAGUCUUUAUUGUUACGCUUCUAUUGUUUGGAGGCCGAAGGGGCGAUGGGAGAACUAAAAGCCCAGGCCCCUUUCGUCCCUGAAAACCCUGAAAAAAGUUUCUGCAUAUGUGAAAAAGAAGGGGAUUAGUGGACAGUCAUCAUAAGCCAACAGUGACAUGUGCGUCAACAUGCUAAUGACAUGGCUUAGGCUGCACUGAUACACAUUUAUUAAACCAAUACGUUGCCAACGGAAUGGCUGACAUGCCAUUUUAACGUAUGCCAUCUCUGUAUUCGGUGAGCACAGUGAUGUCCUUCAAGGAAGGACUUGUUGCCUCGGCUGCGGCGCUGCCAUGAGCGCGGCUCUGACUAUGGUGAGAUUAGUUGGUGACCUAGCACCCGUCGUACCAGUUGGGCUGUAAUGACUCCUAGAGAUAGUCGCUCAAGAUAGCUCUGUGUGUUUGUUUCGUAAAUAAGCUCCAUGGCAAAUUCGCAUUGUUUUUCCCCAAAUAAGCAAUUCCGAAGGCUAGGCCUUCACUGAGAGCAUGCAUCUCUGCAUAAACUGCCUCUAGGCUUUGGGACCUGCUUUAGCUUCCAGGAGCUGCUCUUCAAGACCACAUUCCUCCCCAGAGCAGCCCUGUCAACAUCCAGGGACAGAUGAAAGCCGGAUUAUGAAGACCUGGCCAUCUCCCCCGAAAUCAGGAAACUCUGAAGAGCAUUCUAACUCCAAAGAUGCCUGUGGGUUGGCUGGGGCUGUCCUUGGGCCUGUAGUACAGCCCAGAUCCUCCCACUGCCCACACCCACUCUUGCCUCCUCUCUUACACGGGUGUUGGUCUGAGGGCACUUGUAUAGGCUAAACUCCAUCUGAAUCCGCUUCCCAGGAAAACCAGCCUGCAGGGAAACCAUGCCAGUUCUCUGUGCUACUUGCAUCUCCCUUGCAGAGCUGCCUUCAGAAUCUGGACAAAGAUUUUGGUCAAUUUAUAAAGUUUAUUUUAUUCAUUUAUUUUUUUUUUUGAAAUGGAAUCUCACUCUGUCGCCCAGGCUGGAGUACAGUGACGCGAUCUUGGCUCCCUGAAGCUUGUGCCUCCCGAGUUCAGGUGAUUUUCAUGCCUCAGCUUCCCCAGUAGCUGGGACUACAGGCACGUGCCACCACACCCAGCUAAUUUUUUUUCUUUUUGUAUUUUUAGUAGAGAUGGGGUUUCACCAUGUUGGCUAGGCUGAUCUCUAACACCUGACCUCAAGUGACCCGCCCGCUUUGGCCUCCCAAAGUUCUGGGAUUACAGGCGUGAGCCACCACGCCCAGCCUAGUUUAUAAACUUUCUGUUUGUCAAAGCUGGCUGAAAUGUGAUAGACAUCUUCUGAAGGUGAGGUCAUCUUCUAAGGAAGAUGUUCAAAGGAAAACUGACUAUUGGAAAGAUAAAGGAUGGGUGAAGGGGUGAAAUCAGGAAUCCUACGGGCAGAUGGACCGGAUGCCCUCUGUCAGGCCUAUGAGCCCAAGCUAAGCCAUCGUAUCUCCUAUGACCCUCAUGUAUACAUCCAGAUGGCCUGAAGCAACUGAAGAUCCACAAAAUAAGUGAAAAUAGCCAGUUCCUGCCUUAACUGAUGACAUUCCACCAUUGUGACUUGUUCCUGCCCCGCCCUAACUGAUCAACUGACUUUGUGACAUUCCUUCUCCUGGACAAUGAAUCUCAAGAGCUCCCCACCAAGCACCUUGUGACCCCUGCCCCUGCCUGCAAGAGAAAACCCCCUUUCACUGUAAUUUUCCACUACCCACCCGAACCCUAUAAAACUGCCUCACCCCAAUCUCCCUUUGCUGACUCCUUUUACGGACUCAGUCCGCCUGCAUCCAGGUGAUUGAAAAGCUUUAUUGCUCACACAAA